CCAAUCUAGAGUNUCGGAGAGGAAAGUGGAAUUCCUAGUGUAGCGGUGAAAUGCGUAGAUAUUAGGAAGAACACCAGUGGCGAAGGCGACUUUCUGGACGAAAACUGACGCUGAGGCGCGAAAGCCAGGGGAGCGAACGGGAUUAGAUACCCCGGUAGUCCUGGCCGUAAACGAUGGGUACUAGGUGUAGGAGGUAUCGACCCCUUCUGUGCCGGAGUUAACGCAAUAAGUACCCCGCCUGGGGAGUACGACCGCAAGGUUGAAACUCAAAGGAAUUGACGGGGGCCCGCACAAGCGGUGGAGUAUGUGGUUUAAUUCGUCGCAACGCGAAGAACCUUACCAGGUCUUGACAUUGAUGGACAGAACCAGAGAUGGUUCCUCUUCUUCGGAAGCCAGAAAACAGGUGGUGCACGGUUGUCGUCAGCUCGUGUCGUGAGAUGUUGGGUUANNNNNNNNANCGAGCGCAACCCCUAUCUUAUGUUGCCAGCACUUUGGGUGGGGACUCAUGAGAGACUGCCGCAGACAAUGCGGAGGAAGGCGGGGAUGACGUCAAAUCAUCAUGCCCCUUAUGACCUGGGCUACACACGUACUACAAUGGGAGUUAAUAGACGGAAGCGAGAUCGCGAGAUGGAGCAAACCCGAGAAACACUCUCUCAGUUCGGAUCGUAGGCUGCAACUCGCCUACGUGAAGUCGGAAUCGCUAGUAAUCGCAGGUCAGCAUACUGCGGUGAAUACGUUCCCGGGCCU
RNAcentral lists this ribosomal RNA (747 nucleotides) under uncultured bacterium. RNAcentral's name for it is "bacterial SSU rRNA". It matches the Rfam family "Bacterial small subunit ribosomal RNA", at positions 636 to 1381 of the family's 1533-position model. The record is from RNAcentral.